GGUUGUAGAAGAACUCUCAGCAUGACAAAAAGAUCUAUGGAGAUACCUCUCAAAAUCCAGCAAACUCUGAUAAGUUCUUCAUGUGUAAUGAUGCAAAGAUGUAAGCAAGCUGCACUGAAUCAUUAUACAGCGUGCUGUGGCUAAAAUGCAUGAAAAAAUCCAAAGUAAAGGAUCAUC
Molecule: long non-coding RNA, 177 nt
Filed under: Apteryx rowi (Okarito brown kiwi)
Lineage: Eukaryota; Metazoa; Chordata; Aves; Apterygiformes; Apterygidae
Description: lncRNA (ENSARWG00000009178.1)
Source: RNAcentral